Molecule: long non-coding RNA, 205 nt
Filed under: Carica papaya (papaya)
Lineage: Eukaryota; Viridiplantae; Streptophyta; Magnoliopsida; Brassicales; Caricaceae
Description: long non-coding RNA (CPAP_LNC014402)
Source: RNAcentral
UGUGAUUGGGAAGGAAACUCUCAGAUUUCAAGUGUGUGCAGGUGGCUUAUUGAGUUCAAAAAGUGAUUUUUAAAUUCAAGUUAUAUGUAAUAUAUUAAAUCAAGUAAAAAAUUCCUAUAAUGAAUGGUUGAUAAUGGUCGAUGUGUACAUAGUUGAAUUUUUACAUUAUGUGCAAGUGAUAAAUAAAUUUAUGGAAAUGUUAGAG